GAAUUUGAUCUUGGUCAGGAUGAACGCUAGCUACAGGCUUAACACAUGCAAGUCGAGGGCAUCAUGAUCUAGCUUGCUAAGAUUGAUGGCGACCGGCGCACGGGUGAGUAACGCGUAUCCAACCUUCCUGUACUAGGGGAUAGCCCGGCGAAAGUCGGAUUAAUACCCGUAUGUUUUCCGAAGCGAGCAGUUUAAUUUGGAACAAAGGUUUACCGGUAUAGGAUGGGGAUGCGUCUGAUUAGAUAGUAGGCGGGUAACGGCCACCUAGUCGACGAUCAGUAGGGGUUCUGAGAGGAAGGUCCCCCACAUUGGAACUGAGACACGGUCCAAACUCCUACGGGAGGCAGCAGUGAGGAAUAUUGGUCAAUGGGCGAGAGCCUGAACCAGCCAAGUAGCGUGCAGGAUGACGGCCCUAUGGGUUGUAAACUGCUUUUAUAUAGGGAUAAAGUGAGGGACGUGUCCCUUAUUGUAGGUACUAUAUGAAUAAGGACCGGCUAAUUCCGUGCCAGCCGCUGC
Molecule: ribosomal RNA, 516 nt
Filed under: uncultured bacterium
Lineage: Bacteria
Description: bacterial SSU rRNA
Rfam family: Bacterial small subunit ribosomal RNA
Source: RNAcentral